GCCGCCGGUGCCGCCCCCUCCGCUCCCGCCCCCGCCGGUGCCGCCGCCUCCGGUGCCUCCCCCGCCGGUGCCGCCGCCUCCGGUGCCGCCCCCGCCGGUGCCGCCCCCUCCGGUGCCGCCCCCUCCGGUGCCGCCGCCUCCGGUGCCGCCCCCUCCGCUCCCGCCCCCGCCGGUGCCGCCCCUCCGCUUCCGCUGCCGCCUCCACCACCAGAGGAUCCUCCGCCGCCUCCCCCACCGCUCCCACCCCCGCCGGUGCCGCCCCCACCGCCUCCGCUGCCGCCUCCACCACCACCACCACCGCCACCGCCGCCUGGGCUAGGACAGGUGCCGCACUUGCAGCCGCAGGCGUCGGCGAAGGCGAAGAAGAGGAGGUUGAGGGCCAGGAGCGUGGCGACCACGGAGGCUUUCUUCGCCGCCAUGCUGGCUUGCGGGCUAGCUAGUGCUUCUGCUAUCUCUGUGCCGCACUAGU
This 469-nucleotide long non-coding RNA is filed under the name Setaria italica (foxtail millet). RNAcentral's name for it is "long non-coding RNA (SITA_LNC007440)". The record is from RNAcentral. Lineage: Eukaryota; Viridiplantae; Streptophyta; Magnoliopsida; Poales; Poaceae.